ACUCGAGUGGCGAACGGGUGAGUAACACGUGGGUGAUCUGCCUUGCACUUCGGGAUAAGCCUGGGAAACUGGGUCUAAUACCGGAUAGGACCAUGCUUUAGUGUGUGUGGUGGAAAGUUUUUUCGGUGGAGGAUGAGCUCGCGGCCUAUCAGCUUGUUGGUGGGGUAAUGGCCUACCAAGGCGACGACGGGUAGCCGGCCUGAGAGGGUGGACGGCCACAUUGGGACUGAGACACGGCCCAG
RNAcentral lists this ribosomal RNA (242 nucleotides) under uncultured Actinomycetales bacterium. Its description in RNAcentral is "partial 16S ribosomal RNA". It matches the Rfam family "Bacterial small subunit ribosomal RNA", at positions 89 to 334 of the family's 1533-position model. Lineage: Bacteria; Bacillati; Actinomycetota; Actinomycetes; Actinomycetales. The record is from RNAcentral.